Marmota monax (woodchuck) is the source of this 3089-nucleotide long non-coding RNA. RefSeq lists it as uncharacterized. The record is from RefSeq and is a predicted model, not a curated record. Lineage: Eukaryota; Metazoa; Chordata; Mammalia; Rodentia; Sciuridae. The transcript has 2 exons.
AUCACCAGCACAGCCCUUUCCUUCUCCUCCCUGUCCCACAGGCCUGCUCCCAUCCUGGCAUGGCUCCUUUGGGAGGGGACACAGGUUGGUGCUAUCCUGAGCCAAGCCAAGGACUCCUCAGGAGACUGUGCCUAUGGGAAUCUGCCUAGGGGGAGGCACUUCCCAGAGCCAUCGGCCAGCAGCUGGAAGGCUGAGCAGACUGUUGUGUUAAUCACUGAACCUCCAGAGCAGGGGCACAGGAGGCACUCAAUACACAAAUGAAGAAUGAAUGAAGAAAUGAAGGAAUGACGACAAAUAUGUGUUCAAAUAUCAAAAUGUCUGGGGCUGAAUCUAAGGCCUCUAGAGAAGGUGAAACCCUAGAAGGCCUAGUACUGGGAGGCUUCCUGGAGUUGGGACAAACCUAGAGGGGUCCUGGAGAGGCAGACUCUGAAGGAAAAAGAAUUCUGUAGAAGCCCAGCAUGGCCCAAGCUUGGAGUAUGGAACAGAGGCGGCCGCUGGGGCACUGAUGACUCUUCCACCCCCAUCUCCUGUCCCUAAAACAGUGCUUUGCCUCAUUGCAGGUCUGCUAACCUGCGUGGAACACGGGGAUGGAUAAGUCCCUUGCCCUCUGAGGUCCAGUGCCCUCAUCAAUAGGGGCAGCCCAGGGAACGUCCAAAGGCACUUUCUGUGUUCACAUGUGCCACCCGCUCUCCACUCUCAGCAAAACAGGGAGAGCCGUGUUUCUACCUGCAGCAGGCAAGACUGAAGUUAGACAGGGGUGAGGGAGGAAGAGAAGCAGAGCAUUUGCCAGGCUGCGGGGCCAAGCCAGCUGGUGCCCUAGUGCCUUGGGUAGGGAGAGGAGCUGUUUCCUUAGAAGCCAGGAAAUAAAGAGAGAUGGUCCAGGUGGGGUGGGAGGGGGCUGGGGCUAUGGAAUUCCCCCUCUGCGCAAAGCCCAUCCAGCCAGUACUUGCAGUGCAGCAGCAUGGCCUGGCCUUCACCCCAGGAGACUGCUGGGCCUCUCUCCCUCCCUCCUGUGAGCUGCCUGGCUAGGGCAUCUGAGGUCCUGUAUGUGCCAGGGGAUUUUUGCUAUGGCUUGACCCAAGUUAUACAGACUCAAGUUAUACCUUCACUGCAAGGUGGGGCCCAGCAAGGAGCAGGGACACGCCCAGGCCCAGGUUCAACCAAACCAAGGCCAGGAAUUCCCCAGAGUCCCCUGACUCCUACUGCAGUGCCAUUCUCCCUGGAUCCCCUCCUCCCUCCCAGUCCACUCCUAGCCUCUCUGGCAGCCUGACUUCAGAGAGUUCCAUCCACUGAUGGUUUCUUGCACUAAUCACUGCAGUGAACUAUAGGCACAUCCUCCAUCUCAGAACCCACAGCCUUCUCCAGAACAGAUGGAAAAUUCCUGGAGGACAAGGCUGUGCCUUUCACUCAGCACUACCUGAAAGGGAAUUCUAGGGCCUGCCUCCGGCUCAAAGGCAAGCCUUCCUGAAAAGACAGGGCUUCCCUCAGCUCAGCACAUGGUCUCCACCAUCAGACACACCAGGGCAGACAGUCACUCGGUGACAAAGCCAGGGGCCUCUCUCAACUCAGAGGCCUGUACCUGCCUCAAAUAGGACAGGCCCACUCAGUUUAGGACCGAUCCCAUGGGCCAGGGGCUUUCUUUAACCCAAGGACAAUGUCUCCCUCAUUAGUCAGUCUCCCUCAUUAGCCUCCCCCAGCUCAGGAACCUCGUAUCCUCCAUCAGACAUCCCCCAUGAUUCCAGGUGGUCAAGGCCAGGCUGUGAGUCAGCCUGGCCCCUGUGGAGCUCAGUAGAAGCCCAGAAACCAGGCUGGCUAACUGGCCACAGGGCCCAUGGUCAGCCCUGUCAUGGUCUCCUGCAGGCUCAUGUAGAAGCUUAAACUACCAGAGACAAGCUGGCCUAGAACCCCAACUCUAGGAUUCAAUUUCAGCAACUGGCUCCAACUUCCCUCUGGGCAGGAGCCAAAGCAGUGAUUAAUAAGCUCUUCCAUGGUGCAGUGUGCUGAGGGCUUCCAGCAGCUGGGGAUGACCUGAGGUUAAGGAGUCCAGGCCCCUGCCUCAAGGCUCAACCUUAUGGAGUCCAGGCAUCCCUUUCCCUGGGAGUGCUGGAGAUCAGGGCUGGGGGAUGGGGGGCUAGAUUACUAAUACCCCCAACGUCGAGUCUUAAGAAGCUCUUCCCAAGGAUUGGGCCUAAUUCUUCCCUGUUGAAAAGUCCCCAGUGAGGGAUUAUGAAUGACACCAUCCUGAACCACAGGCAGCUCCAUUUACGGUCGUAAUAAGAAUUAUAGGGUAGGAGUGGUGAUGGGAAGAAUUGUUCCUUUUGGAAGUAUAGUUUUAAAAACAAUGUAUAGGGACUUUCCAUUUAUCAUCCCAUUUGAUUAGGGCUAUCAUCCUCGAGAGUGGCAAAGAUUACUGACCCAAUCUUUCAGAUGAGGAAACUCAGGGAAGGAAAGGAACUCUACCAGACUGUACACUGGCUAGUGUGGUGGGCCGGCCUCAAGUCCAGGUUGUCUGACUUGCCAUCCAGGGCUCUCCCAGAGCCUGCCACACAGCAGGCACUCAAUCAGUGUUCAUGGGAUUGGACUCUUUAGAAAGGACUGCCUGGUCUCUUGUGGACUCUGGUGACGGGAUUGAUCCAAGCUACAUUAUUCUUAUCUCAUUGAGUCUGAGUCUUACUGUAUUGAGAAAUUGCAUGGAGGAAAUUGAAGCCCAGAGAGAAGCAAGGACCCAGAAUAAAAGCUCAGGACUCUAGAUCUCAGCCCAGAGCCCCCUCAUCUAUGCCACAGCCUAGGACUUUAACAAGUAUUUACUGAGGCCCUGUUUGCAGGCUCAUUGGUGGGUGGGAGAGGAAGAGCUCAGGCCUUGACCUUCAGAGACUCCUCACUUAGGGGAAGGGCUGGAUAAGUACAUGGCACAGAUCUGAGCUGAUACAGAAGCUCUGAGGGUUCUGAGAGCCCAAAGGAGGGAGGGAAGCAGCCUUGCUUGCUAGAGAGCCAGGCAUGCUGAAGCAAAGAGUGGCUCUUGAGCUUGACCUAGAGGGACAAGAAAGAUUUUGACAGACAGCAAUAAAAGCAGAUGUUCUGGGCAGAGA